This 854-nucleotide ribosomal RNA is filed under the name uncultured Chloroflexota bacterium. Its description in RNAcentral is "bacterial SSU rRNA". It matches the Rfam family "Bacterial small subunit ribosomal RNA", at positions 28 to 896 of the family's 1533-position model. The record is from RNAcentral. Lineage: Bacteria; Bacillati; Chloroflexota.
AAUAAACGUUAGCGGCGUGCCUGAUGCAUGCAAGUCGAACGCUCUGGUAAUUCGCAAGGAUUAUUCAGAGAGUGGCGAACGGCUGAGUAACACGUAAGUGACCUACCUUCAAGUGGGGAAUAACUUGCCGAAAGGUAAGCUAAUACCGCAUGUGCUGGUAAGCUGAGGCUUAUCAGGAAAGCUUUAGGGCGCUUGAAGAGGGGCUUGCGUCUGAUUAGCUAGUUGGUAGAGUAAUGGCCUACCAAGGCGAUGAUCAGUAGCUGGUCUGAGAGGACAAGCAGCCAGACAGGGACUGAGACACGGCCCUGACUCCUAUGGGAGGCAGCAGCAAGGAAUUUUGCGCAAUGGGCGAAAGCCUGACGCAGCGACGCCGCGUGGGGGAAGAAGGCCAUCGGGUCGUAAACCCCUUUUCUCGAGGAAGAAUAAUGACGGUACUCGAGGAAUAAGUCUUGGCUAACUACGUGCCAGCAGCCGCGGUAAUACGUAGGCGGCAAGCGUUAUCCGGAUUUACUGGGCGUAAAGCGGGCGUAGGCGGUUUUUCAAGUCGAUUGUAAAAUCUCCCGGCUUAACUGGGAGGGGCCAUUCGAUACUGUUGGACUAGAGGGCAGCAGGAGGAGGUGGAAUUCCCGGUGGAGUGGUGAAAUGUGUAGAUAUCGGGAGGAACACCAGUGGCGAAAGCGGCCUCUUAGGUUGUUUCUAACGCUGAGGCCCGAAAGCGUGGGUAGCAAACAGGAUCAGAUACCCUGGUAGUCCACGCCGUAAACGAUGGACACUAGGUAUAGGGAGUAUCGACCCUCUCUGUGCCGAAGCUAACGCAUUAAGUGUCCCGCCUGGGGAGUACGGCCGCAAGGCUA